Amborella trichopoda is the source of this 4255-nucleotide long non-coding RNA. RefSeq lists it as uncharacterized. The record is from RefSeq and is a predicted model, not a curated record. NCBI's taxonomy places the organism in Eukaryota, Viridiplantae, Streptophyta, Magnoliopsida, Amborellales, Amborellaceae.
UUUACACUAUUUUGAAAAAUACGCAGUUUAAAACAUUUUUUUUAAAAAAUUUCAAUUUUUUUUUAAAAAAACGUGUUUAAAACGCAGAUCGGCUAACUAUUGUUUGCAACUGAUCGGGUCAGGUCGGGUCCAUGUUGAUUCUGACCCUCCUAGGUUCCACCCGGACCUACAGGUUGAUUUGGACCUAGAUUGGGCUCUAGAAAUUAAAACUAAAAUUUUUUUUUUGUUAAUAUAUAUUUUAUAUGAGUAAUGAUCCUAGGAUCUUCCUCCACCCACAUGUGUAAGACCUUAAAUGAUCACCAUUAAAGUUGGUAUGGAUUUAUAGAAAAGUCAAAUUCUACAUCCAUGUGAUAAUUUUAAUAGAACUUCGUACCAAUUUUUAUGAUGAUCCUUUGAGGUCCUUCACAUGGAUAGAGGAGGGUCUAUAGGAUCAUUACUCAUUUUAUAUAUACUUAAUAAAAGGUCGGAUGGGGGUGGAUCUGAGUCAUUUGGCCCACAUCCCAACCCUCAUGGGUCCAAAACAUGGACGUGGACCCAAACCACCCGGCCUAUUUGCCACUCCUAAAUGUAGGGGCUUGAAAAAUUUUAUUCGGUAUAAAAAGAUGUUUUAAAUAUUAUGUUAUAAUUUAUUUUUUCACUACUUUUAAAUUUCAUUUGGAUGUGUUUUGCUUAAAAGUAAUGAUCCUAUUAGACCCUCUCAUACUCAUGUGUAGAAGAUCCGAAAAGAUUGUCAUUAAUGUGGGAGAGAUUAUUAGAAUAAUGAUUGUAUGAGAUCCUCUCAUACUCGUGUGUAUAGGACUUUAAGAAUCACUAUUAAAUUUGACACAGAUAUUUAAAAAAGUUAUCUCUAUUAAAUUUGAUACAGAUAUCUAAAAAAAUUAUCACAUGGAUGGGAGAUUUGAUUUUUCUAAAUACCAAUAUUAAAUUUAAUAGUGAUAGUUUAGAGUCCUACACACGAGUAUCUCAUAUGAUGAUUACUCUCUAAGCUUACACGCAUGGCGGAUCUCAUAUGAUCAUUAGUCUUUAAGCUGAUAAUAUUGAUCCUAAAGACCCUCUCACAUACAUAUUUUUUAUUUUUUAAUUUUUAAUGAUUUUGAGACCAGCCAGCUUAGUUAGGCCCUCUUAAUCGGCCGGUUUACUGGUUGCUCGGACCUAGUCGUUCACGCGUUUCUGAGGCGGCCUUGAUUUUUCGAAGACCGGAUCUACGGACGGCGGUGAUAGCUAAUGUGUUCUCCCAUCGCCGAUGCGGUGAGUGUGUCUUCUCUCGUCGCCGUCCAUCGGCUGAUCGUAUGGUGCAGAUAUCAUACUUUCUGAUUCCCAAAAAAACACGUGAAAACCCUAACGACUUUCCAUCUGUAUAUAUAUCUAUACCAGAUACCCAACUCUCCAAAACCCUAGAACUUCAUAUUGUCGCGGUGUCCUUUGCUCCUGUUAUCCAUGGCUUCUUCCUGAGAUUCCAACUCUAUUUCUCUGUUAUCAAUAAACUCUAGUUCUUCCUUAAUAUCCAAAAACCUAAGUUUCAAACAGUCAAAAAGCUCUAGCUAUCUCUAUGAUUCUGAAUAUCUGUUGCCCUAAUUCCUGGUCUGUUUUUUCUGAAGUACUUUACAGUGUGUAUAUGUUCAGCUUGUAGUUUGUUUUUUAUUGCUUUGAUUGAUGAUCUAGCACGGAUUUCUGUAUAUUUAUUUGAGUUGAAAAUGAGUGGGAAAUUUUUUUAAAAAGCAAGGCAGCUUCUUGUUUGAAAGAAAUCUCUGCUUUCAGGCAACAAUUCAAUUGAAACUUGCGAUAUCAAUAUUCAGCUUCACUCGCCUGCUUUUGAUUUUGCAAUGAUAUUGCAGGCCCUUUUACUGCUGGUACAAUUACCAUUUGUUUUUAAAAUUCAUUAUCUUUUUAAAUUUUUUUUUUGGUUUUUCUUUUGAAAGUAUGGCUUAAAUUGAUCAUAAAUGUUACAUUUGUCAGAGAGAGUCUUGGCCAGAUGUUUCUGUCCAUUUAAGUUGUGUUUGGAAAUGUACUAAUAGCUUGUAUUCUGGUUUUUCAAUAUGAAGCAAACGCACUCUGUCCCAAGACUAACUAUCAGUGUUUUGAGGCAAUUUCUUCGUUUGCGAAAUUGAAUGCUCCAAUCAAACUCGUCACUAAUGAUUCUGAAUUGAAUUUGUAGACGCAUGGUUGGACUACAUUUUGUUUCUUGGAUUUCUUGAUUUCAUUUUCCAUAGGUUUUAUGGAUUCUAUUAGGUUUUCGAAGGAUUAGGAUAAUGCUAGCAAUUUGCAAGCACUUGACUAUUGGUUCAGGAAUUUAGGUGGAGUGGUUUGCAGCUCUGAUGGAUCCUGAAAACAAUGAAAAUAUAAAAUCAAAUAAAAACUUGAAAGAUCUAAGAUUUCUCUCUAUUUUUGGAUCUAUAAAGUUUUUGGGGGUUUUGGUCUCAUGGAUUGUAUGGAAUAUGGCAUAUAUGAAAUGGGUUUUAGAUUUUUCUCACGUAUUGAGCUCAAUCACUGGAUUCGUGAAUUGGUUUUUAUUCUACGGAUUUUUUUUCAUGGAAUGAAUUGGGCUCUAUCACUGGAUUAGUGAAUUGGUUUUUAUUUUACGGAUUUUUAUCAUGGAAUGAAUUGGGUUUUGCUGGUUUGUUGUGAGCAUAAUUAGCAAAUUGGUAUUUUAAACGCGAUUUUUUUAAAAAAUUGGAGUUUUUUAAAAAAAUGUUUUAAACUGCGUAUUUUUCAAAAGAGUUUUAAAAAAUUGCAUCUUUUUCAUGAAGAAGUUUAACUACGCGAUUUUUUAAUUUUUAUAAGAAAUCGUUUCAAGAAAACGGUUAUAUUAAUAAUCCUCCAUGGUACACAUAGAGAUAACUGUGAACGAGAACAUUUUAUCGACGGGUAUAGAUAGAAAUAUAAUUAUCUUAAAAAAAUUAGGAAAAACAAAGAUAAAUAAGUUUCAAAAAUUUUCAAAUUGAACUACAUCACAAAUGGUUGAUGGGUAUGGAGAUCGAUAGAUAUAGAGAAAGAGGAAAAAGAGAAUUUAUAAUGCAAGCUUUAGAGAAAGAGAAUCGGUGUUUAUAUUGAAAUAUAGAUAAGUCUUUCAAUUUAACGACAUUUCAAAGAAAUUAUAGAGGAACAAUCUGAUAGAGUUUUUUUAAAUCACAUCAAAAAAUUCUCAAUUUUAACAUAACUCAAUAAUCCUCAAAUUAACAUAGCUCAAAGAACAUAUUAAGAAAAAUAAACUAAAAUAAAACGUACAAAAAUCCCCAAAUUAACAUAGCUCAAAGAACAUAUUAGGAGAAAUAAACUAAGGAAAUACGUACAAAGGGCUUUUUCUUAAUCUUGAUUCAACCCAUCAGAUUAAAAAAUACAAUACGAUUCCCAUCUGAUUUUCUUCACACAUCAUAUUAAAAAAUACAACACGAUUCCCUUCUGAUUUUCUUCACAAGAAAGUUCACAAUCAGUUUAAAAAAGAUAGCACCUUUCUGAUUCAGAAGAAGUUCAUCCUAUUUGCUCUUUUGUGUUCUUUUGAGAGAUCCAUUGUCACUUCACACCCCUGUUCUCUCUCUCUAUUUCGUUAUUUGCAUCCACCUCUCUCUCUCCCUUUGCACCUCAUGCUCUGUCAAAAGAAAUGGUCACCCCCUCUCGUCUUCUCUAUCUAAAAGUAUAAAUAUAGUGCAAAAGGAUGGUACGGUGCAUAUUGAUAUAAUUAGUAUGGUGUAUAGUUAGUAAGGAUUUCCAUGGAUUUUGCACUUGUGGUUUCUCAUGAGCUUUGAGUAAUGUAGGUUAGAGCUGUUGCUUUUCUUCUGUUUUCUUUCGGAAAUUUACCAGUAAAAUUUCAUUAAAUUGUAUAAUGUACAAGUAUUGUAACUGUAGAUAAAAAAAUGUGUCCUUGGGGCUGUCCAGACUUACGAUUGACUUACACUGGUUCGGCAUCACCUGAAGGUGCCGAUGGGCCAAUGCCACACCAUUCCAACUGGGUGUGCAAUGAUAUACAGUACAAAUUCCUCGCCAUGGCCAGACUGAUCGCUGCUCCUCUGCCAAGGUAGAUGAUCACAUAUAUUUCGUCUUGAAUAUUCCACACAUGCAAGAGGAUCCCAAGAAUAGAGAGAUGCCAUAGGAAACUGCCAAUACAUGAAGGGGAAGGGAAGAUCAGAACUUGAAUAGAGACUCAACUGAGUUCGGGCUCAGACAAUAAAAAUCCAAUAGACUUGAAAAUAGGACCUUGCCCUUUUGUAGGGCCUACAUUUGUAUCAUAUUUUAUUCAAAUAAAAUUUUGUUAUUUUUU